Molecule: long non-coding RNA, 6071 nt
Organism: Dromaius novaehollandiae (emu)
Lineage: Eukaryota; Metazoa; Chordata; Aves; Casuariiformes; Dromaiidae
Exons: 3
Source: RefSeq, a predicted model, not a curated record
GUGCGCAGGCGCGGGGCGAGCCCGGCGGGCGCCGAGGGGAGUGGGCGCCAGGGCGGUGCUGUGGCGGGAACCCUGAGGCGCCGGGGGGGGAGCGGGGCGCGCGGCCCCGCGCUCGGCGCCUCGAGGACCCCAACGGCCGCGCCGCCAUGAGCAACGGCCCCCAGCAGCAUGCGGAGAGUCAAAGAGGUUUUGCGCCCUUUUGGGAAAUCUGACUUUUAAAUUAUUCCCCGAAUGACGCUAACAGCUUUGUGUAGUAAUGAGAAAAUACAGGCUAUGGAAGCUGAUGGAAACUCGCUUCUCAUCGUCCAGGAUCUUCGAUAUUUAGAUGUAUUUAUAGCAUCAGGAAGUUUUUUUACAGCUUUCUUCAGGUAGAGAGGGAGACAAGAUUACUACCAAAAGGAGCUUACCAUUUCAAGUGUUAAGGCAUUUCAGGGCUUUUCCAUGGCUUCCCAUCACAGCUGGGAAGGGCUUUCCAGAAACACCUGCGAAAAUGGCUGGUGCCCUGAGACCAACGUGCCUCAUUGAUACCGCGUGCUCCCAUCUGCUGGAUACAUUCAACUACCAUGUUUUGCUUCAUUCUUAAACUCAAGAUGCCUUAGGGAAGGGACUUGUCUUUUGUUGUGUUCAGCACAGUGAGAACCUGAAAAAUGACAGCCCCCUAAGCUGUGCAGCAUACAUCCCAAACCUGCGUAUCUGUGAUUCUGAUGUCACCUCAAAGCUGCCUCUUCCCCAAGCUGAUGCUUCAUGUUAUUUGCAGUAAUGCAAGGGAGCAUUCCCUUUCAAAUACACAGAAGUGAUAUCAAUUCCUUGAUGUUUAAUUUGCAGUCAAGAAGAAAUUAUAGGCAACAUACAGAAAAAAAAAUGGUUCCUCUCUUUAAACCCCGUUAAAGGUUGCCAUUCUCUGACUCACAGCCAAUGCAAACCCAUUGAAAAAGACACAGCCUAGAUCUAUACAGUUGUUUAGAGGGACCUAAAAGAUAAUUUAUUGUUCAAAGAACUGUUGUGAAUUAUUAAAGCAAGCACUCUGCCUUGCUUAACUCAGGUCCUCCUUCAGAUUUUGAGAGUUUAUUUCUCUUCGUCAUCCAGAGCAUUUUUAAAUGUGCUGAAUAUAAGUUUGUCAAUGAAAUGGCAAGUUUGCUAGCAAGUUCUGCUUUCUCUGUGUAUUUGCAGGAGAAUCUCAGUACAGAGCAUAUGCAUUGCAGGUGUUUCUUUGUUCAUAUUUAAUGAUAGGAGGAAGAAAAAUGUAAUUAUGCCUUGUCUUGCUCACUCUCCUCCCUGCCUGUAAGUAUUUGAACUCUCUGAGAUAAAGGCAAGUGGUAAUGUAUCUUUUCUGACAACUGAGCGCUUCCCAGAGGCAAAUCAGAAGUGCCUCUGCCCAAAUCAUUCAACAUUGUGCAGUUUCUAUGUGAGCAGUCUCUCAUUUAAAGGAACACAGCCAGUCUUUCAUAGACUUUCAUUGUACAGACAAUAUUUCAAGUACCUAAAAUUGAUCAAAGUUAGAAGUACAGUGUUUCCUGUUUGUUUUCUUUAUAUGUUUGACAACCCAAUUGGAUAUUGCUAGCUUCACUUUUUUCACUGACUAGUUGGCUGAUUUCUUCCUAUCUGAAAAGUCUUAUGCAUAUUAUUAGAUUUGAAGGUGCCCCAUCAAAAUGGGGCUUGGCUAGAAAAUGGGCAUUUUUUUUCUAUUUAGUCAUUUUAGAAAAACUGGAAUUAAUGUGACUAGCAAGGGGCCAGGUUGAGAAGACUACCUGGAGCUUAAGGUCUGUACAACAAAGUAAACUGCCUAUUUUACACUCUAAACCUAUCAACCCCUUUUAAAGCACAGCAUAGGGUUACAAAGAUCUGCUGCCAAAGAAACCUAGGGAGAGACUCUAAACAAGGGAAAAUGUAUUCCAGCUGCUUGGGAUCAAAAUCCAAAUCUCAGACAUGCAAACAAAUAGCCCAGAUGCAGAAGCCAAUAAUUAGUUGCUGAAAAAUACUGUGGCAAAUGUGAAACUGAGAAAGGGGUGGGAAGUAUGGGAAAAAAAAGGAUGAAAGAUUGGAAAAUGCCCUUGCAGUAGCAAAGAUGUAGCUAAAACAGAGGAUUUGGAUAUGUGAGCAAUAACCCAAGGGAUUACAAGAGAGAAUUUCUUGGGAGUUAUCAAGUUGCACAGUGACAGUGCUGGUGUUUGGAAAGAAUGUUACUUGAAGCUUGGUUUAAUUGGAAAGAGCAUGUUUCUAUUACAGUUUUGUUCCAUUUUAUUUAAUAAAAAGGGAAAAAAUACAGGGAAGAUAAGUGCUUAGGGCAGAAGAGGUUGAAUAAAAUGAAAAGAAUCCUCCCAAAGAGCUUCAGUAACGAGAGACAAUCUAAACAUAAGGGCCAGUGCCAGGUUUCCACAAUGCAAAAAUGUGUCCAGGACCAGCAAAGGGCAGUUGCCUCCCAAGGGACAGGGAGCCAGGAGCUGAGCAAAGCCGACAGCGACAGCACCCAAGGCCCUGUUCCAUGGUGUCAGCUGGAGUCAGUGGACUCCAGUGUGUUGGGCUCUGGUUGUUGUUUGGGAGAGGAGAAGGAGCUGAACUUCAGUAAAGUCCAGGUGUUUGAAGAUGUAAGGCAGGAAAUAAUGGUGGAUAUUUACAACUGGAAAUCAAAACAUGUUGGGACAGACAUUUCUGAAGAGCAAGCGACUUGCUGCACAAGGAAUGUCACCCUCAAACAACAGAAGUAACACACUUUAAGUUUCUCAAAUAACAUAAUUAUUAAUUUCCUUUAGCUUGAGAUUUUGAUUAUCAAAGAACUAAACAAUGAGGGCAAAAAUGACAAAACUCAAAACAAUCCACUUUUUUUAUUUUGCUUCAAGAAAGUAACUGACCAAGUAACAGACAUGAAAGAUCUGUUUCAGCAGCUAUUUUCUUCAGCUAAAGCAAAGAGGAAGUGAUGCUGUCUUUAUUAAACAUGCAUGUUUUCAGACUGAAGCUCAAUGUAAGAAUAAGAAAUGAUGGUUUCUCUCAUUAAAGGGCACAGUUGCUGAGUUAUUCAUACCACAGGGUUCAGCUUGUGCUCACAGUUAAAAGCAAAUGGCUUAAAAAUGUAUUUUAAAAUAGUCUGGUACUUAGGGAAAGAUAAUCUUGAACUUUACACAUUUUUGCAGGAAAAGACCCAAUAAAUCAGGUAAAAUAGAUAAGGCAGCAAGCACUCACUAUAUCAGCAAUUCAGUCUUUCAGACUGCCGAGAAAAACUGCCCUUAGGAAAAUGAGAUUAUUUAUAUAGAAUGACAGAUUUGUUGUUAAUCUCUAAAUUCAUAAUGAAACAGAUUAGGCAAACCUUAGAAGUGGUAUUUGAUAACCAGGAGACGUCUCAAGGAACACUCUUUUGAAAAUGAAUACUCUGCUCACUGACAUAAAUUAGAGAAAUUAAAGAAGACUGCCCAGUCCUUUCAGUUAUGAAUGGAAACCUCUUUAUAUUGUUUUUUUUUAUGCAGAGGAGCCACUUAAGCAGUACUUAGGGCAAGGAAGUUCUUGAGAAAAAAGCCAGUCAUCAAGAAUAACUAAAACAAGAGCAGGACAUUAAACAGCAGUGAAAUUCUUAAGAUUAGAAGUACACAGAAAAGUAUACUAAGAAUUAAUAGAAGUUGAAUAAGUUUACGGCAUUUGACCAAAAAAAUCUGAUAUUUUCUGAAAAAGAAAAUCAAGUGGUAAGAACUAUUGAUUUGAGUAUAGGAAUUCAGGAGCAAUGCUUUUCAAGAAGAAAUAAUCAGCAAACGAUAGUUACACAUUGUAGUGAAAAUGUGUACUACUUUUGUUGUUUACUUACUAAAAAAACCUUUAUAAAUGAGAUACUCUGAAGUUAAAAAGAUUACCUACAUGUAACAAUUUAUGAGCAGUUACAUCAAUUAAAUGUAUAAAGAAAUAGCAAAAUAAAACAAUACAGAAAACAAACAAAUGUAAAACUUAGUAAAACCACAAGAAAUUAUGGCUUACUAGCUGAAUUCUACAAAGUAUUUGAAACCCUUUGAGAGGUACUUGUAUUUGCAUUUAGUGUGGAAUGAGAUUCCAGUCUGUGAAAAAGAAAUACUGUCUUUUUUCUCCUAAAUGUGGAAACCCCCUGUUCUCCUCGAGCCCUUUGUGGAUUCAUAGGCAGUCUCGUAUUUUGAUACAGUCUGAUAUCACUACUGAAUCCUGAGCUGUUUAUAUUUUUGUCCUCACCAGUUAUAAUCCAUUAACUGGGCUAGAACAAACAGAGAUCAAACUGAAUUUAGUAAGGCUAGGCAGAUGCCAGGUAAUAUUCAUAAAGCACUUGCAAUCAUUUAUAGUGCCAGAUCAAAAAGACGUCUGUUAUUAUUUGACACAGAGAAGGCUUUGAAAGAAGAGAGUGGAAGUUCCCGUUUAAAGUCCUCUCCCAGGUGAACCUUUGUCCUCAGUCUUUUCAAUAAUUAAAUGAUUUAAACAAAGCUCAUGCUGUCUGAGGCAGGGGGAGUCUCUAGAUGAUGACUCUUCAGUCAUAUUUUCUGUGAACCUGUAAGUUUAUGAAUCUCUGAGUUAUUCCUUAUGCCAAUUUGAAAACAGCUAUGUAAAUAAUGAAAUUUUAUUUCCCAGUUUUAUUAACGUGGUCAUCUAGGUGAGGUUUUGUGCCAUAGAUAACCCUAACAUUUCCUUAAAACAUACAUCAGAGGAAACCAAUGAUUUUGAGAAAAUUCUCAGCUUCAAAGUAAAUUUUGGAAAAUUUCAAAAGUUAUACAGUUGUCAAAGUUCUUCCUUCAGAAAAUACUUGUGAGUAAAUAUUUAACAGAUUUCAAGAUUCUUAGCAAUCAAAUUUCAGAGAAAUCUAGAACAGCCAUAGGACUAAUAUGCCAAACAGCUCCUUUAACAACUAGAAGAAAAACUAACCAUAAUCAAGAUGAGUAUUUUCCAUGGAUAUCUCAUUUCAAGAUCUUAUAAUUAUUCUUAACAAAGCUUUAGCAGGUGAGUUGAAGUGUGAGUAGAAGGUAAAUGAGAUAUGAAAAAAACAGUAAUUUUAUAGGAAACACUCUAAAUACUGUGUGCAGAGUAUUGUACAUAUUACUGUUGCUACCAGCUGAGUCAGAUAAAAAAACAAUGGGUUGGGCAUUGCUUUCCUCAGAAAAAUACUAGUUGUUUAUUGAUGGUAUAUACAUGUUGCUAGAUUACAUGGAUUAAGUGAAAAAAGACAUCCUUUACAAAUGUAUACAUAACCUUCAGCAAAGAAUGCUCUGAGUUUUGUAGUAGUAUUACACAUAAUUAAAAUUUUUCAGAAAUGAUGGGCCAGAGGGUUUUAAUUAUAGAAGAAGGUUUUAAUUAUAGAAGAACCUAUAGAAGACACGGUAUUAGCCAACUAUUCAAUAAAGAAAAUUUUUGAGCAUAUUUAAAAAUCAAUACCAAUUUUAGUUAAUCACUCUGUCAGUGCCCACGGGAAAAUAAUAGAGAAUAAGAAAAUAUCAGUAUGCCUCUACAGAAACUAUGACCUAUCCACAUCUGAAAUAUACUUUCUAUCAAAAAAUGGUAUGUUGAACUAGAAGUAAAAAUGGGAAAAGGAGGAUCAUGACUUUGUACAAGGAGAGAUUAAACAGGCUAUCUGCUUGGGAAAGGACACCUAAGAGAGAAAGGACCAUAAAAUCAUGUGUGAUAUCAGAAAGAUGAAAGGGAAACAAUUUGUUCGCAUUGCUCACAAGAUAAGAAUAAGGAGACACCAAUGACAUCACACAGCGGAUGUAAAACAAAGCAGCACAUAAUUAAAUACUAGAACUCUUUGUCACUGGAUGUUACAGAGGCCAAAAAUAGAAAUGUAUUCACAAGGUGAUUAUAUUGAAAAUCCAGCUAAGAGCUCUUAAAUGCAAAGGUCCAAAUACAACCUCUGGCUCAGUAAAUUCCUAAACUGAUGUGGAUAGGCAGAAACUGCGAUAGUAUCCUGGGGAAGUAUCACCAGAGAAUUGCUUGGUUUCUCAUGUUUUUCUUCUAUUUCACUACUGGAGGCAGAACCUCGGGCUAAGAGGAUCAUUGGUCUGGUUAAGUGAAGCAGUGCUUACGCUGUCAGAUGGGAUCAUAUGUUUUUACAUUUUCCAGAAAGAUUAUUAGCAACA